GAUAAAAUGCCUGAUUAAAGGGUUAUCUUGAUAGGAUAAAUCAUGUAAAAUUACUUUUAUUA
Molecule: transfer RNA, 62 nt
Filed under: Alectorobius spheniscus
Lineage: Eukaryota; Metazoa; Arthropoda; Arachnida; Ixodida; Argasidae
Description: tRNA-Ile
Source: RNAcentral